AACGGCCAUACCAUGCUGAAAGAACCGGUUCUCGUCUGAUCACCGCAGUUAAGCAGCAUCGGGCGCGGUCAGUACUUGGGAGGGGUACCAC
RNAcentral lists this ribosomal RNA (91 nucleotides) under Araneus ventricosus. The record is from RNAcentral. Lineage: Eukaryota; Metazoa; Arthropoda; Arachnida; Araneae; Araneidae.